UUAGGUUCAAGUUAAAAGAGCUAUUCCAUCUAUACGAUAUACAAAAAUUGAAGUCGCAUACUACCUAAAUCGAAUCAUUAAAAUAAUGAGUACGAAAUUAAUUUUUUCAAAAAAACCGUAAUAAGUGGGUACGGCGAUAUAACGCCAUCUACUUUAGGCGCGCCACAUCGAGCCGGUAUCGAAGAUCUUUAGUUUUAACGAGAGGAUCAGAUUCUAUGGACGUGGAACAAAGUACCGGCGUGCGAGGGCGCGUUCAGUCGAUUCGGCGGUAAAAAUUAAAUUUUUAGCGACCACAGCGUGGAUGUCGACUUUUAUCUUUGAUCGGCCUAAUUAAUUUCGGUUGUAUCGAACGAAAUACUUCAGCACGUACAAAGUUGACGAUACAAAAACAAUUAUUUUUUAAAUUUUGUCGUUGAAGUAUUACCGUUAUAAUUUCGAGUGUUUUUUUAACGACUAGUUUUCUCUCGUUUCAUUCGAUAAUGAAGUAUAUCGAUACCGUUUACGCGGUACUCGUAAUUGAAACGCACGCAUUGAUCGCGAGUUAUUAGAUGGAAUUGACAGGAUUGAAAAUACGCAUCAAAGUGAUAGAGGAGUGAAGUGUUGUCAUGGAUUGACGUUACGACAGUACGUUUCUUGUCGUACGCGCAAAAGCGUGGAAUAUAUUGCAUCGGUUGGGGCUACAAAGGACAUAGGUUCGGUCCUGAGCAGAGUUGACGUCAGCGGCGCAUGCGUGUCAGAACGGACGGCACUGCAGAAGCAGGCGAGUUCGCGAGUGUAUCGAUUUUACGAUCGUGUCUCUCGCCGCUAGUGCGUCCGUUUCCUUUAGUUUUUAGUGGCCGUGCUCGUAGUACAUGGAUAAAAUCGUGAAUGGGAUUAGUCGCUAGUCUCUUCACACCGUACACCCGCUGACUCGCAACUCUUCGUCACCCUCGCCAUGACCAAGGAUAGAUUAGCAGCCCUCGUCGCGGCCCAGUCGGACGACGAUGACGUUACGGACGAUGUGCCCCACAGCGGCGGGGCGGCCGAUGACUUCAUGACAGAGUUUUUCGCGGAGGUGGAGGAGAUCCGCGAAAUGAUAGACAGGAUCCAGACGAACGUCGAAGAUGUGAAGAAAAAGCACAGUGCCAUCUUGUCGGCGCCACAGACCGACGAAAAAGUCAAAAUGGAGUUGGAGGACCUGAUGUCCGACAUCAAGAAGACGGCCAACAAAGUCAGAGCCAAGUUGAAGGUGAUCGAGCAAAAUAUCGAGCAGGAAGAGCACACGAACAAAUCGUCGGCGGAUUUGAGGAUACGCAAGACGCAGCACUCGACGCUUUCCAGGAAGUUCGUCGAGGUGAUGACGGAAUACAAUCGGACGCAAACCGAUUACAGAGAGCGGUGUAAGGGGAGGAUACAGCGGCAGCUGGAAAUCACCGGUAGAACGACCACCAACGAGGAACUGGAAGAAAUGCUGGAACAAGGAAAUCCGGCCGUGUUCACGCAAGGGAUCAUCAUGGAAACGCAACAAGCGAAACAGACCCUCGCCGAUAUCGAGGCGCGCCACGCCGAUAUCAUCAAAUUAGAAAACUCGAUUAGGGAACUACACGACAUGUUCAUGGACAUGGCGAUGUUGGUAGAAAAUCAGGGUGAGAUGAUAGAUCGCAUAGAGUACCACGUGGAACACGCGGUGGACUACGUGCAGACGGCUACGCAGGACACCAAAAAAGCGCUCAAGUAUCAAAGCAAAGCCCGACGGAAAAUGAUCUUCAUCAUAAUCUGCGUGUUAAUAUUGGCCGUGAUAUUAAUCUCCAUAAUAAUUGCAUGCGUACCGAGGAGCUAAAGGUUCGUUGAGAGAGUCGGCGCGGGAAGGGAAAGGACGGGAAAGGAAGGGAUGGGAAGGGAACGGAUAGGAAGGAACGGGGUUAGGAAAGACGGGUCGCUAGAAGACGUUGCGCGCGCGAUGCUCGAUCGAGCGACCACGAUGCGAGGAAAAUGGCAGGACAAGAAAGAAGACGCGCAAGAGGAGGGUAGGAUAUGGGGAGAAGAAAAGAAGAAUGGUGUAAAGACGAUCGACUCAUGGUGUCGGAAAUUGCCGAACGCGCGCGCCUCCUUCCUGGCAAACGCGGAACCAGCUUCGCCCAACCUCCUCGAGCUCCGCUCUAUCCCGGCUCUAAUCUGUGACUAACUUCGAGGAAGCAGCUACGCUUACUUGCUCGUUAACGCAAUAACCGAAUAACAACCGUGCACGUUCCACUAACGACCAGCGUGGAUCGAUUCCUCCUCGAGUCAGUGGAUAUCGAGAUCGCUAUGACGCGUCGCGCAACGAGCUCCUUCCAUCCUCCGCGAAAUCGACUCCGUGCUUCGACGUUUCGUGUUUACCUUUUUGGGAGUCCGAUUUCGCGAGCUUUAGAGAAUUACCGAGCGUGCGACCGCAAUACCGUGUGUUUUGUUCACAGAAAUUGAUGUUCAUCGUUAUUUGCCUGACGAUAGCGCUCAUCAUUUUAAUAACCAUUCUGGUAUACGCGUUGUAAGAGAGAAGCACACGAGGAUUCCAGGGAGAGUCACGCGAGAAUCGCGCCUUCUCUUCGCCAGCGCGAACCAAUCGGUUCCCUUUGCGUAAAGCGACCGGACUUUAGCCGACGAACUAUCACCGAGCGACCUUCACUGCCUUUUUGUUCUCGUAAUUUUCGGCUUUCCGCGACAUGUAACGCUGCUAUCGAACGACACUAUUAAACGCUUCCAGCCUUGCGAUUCGCACAAAGUCCCUUAGAAAUCCCCCCUUUUCUAAUGCCCGAAUAUGUCAUCGCCAGAGGUGUCACCGAGACGUACGAGCUCGUUUUGCCGACAAUAUUUUCAAGCUAGCGUUUAAGACUCAAUUUAUGAAUUAUUAGAAACAGAAAAUCUCUAUGGAACGUUCUGGAACCGCAAAAGGAUCCCGCGCUGCAGGACUGCGCAUGCGCGGCGCAACCUCGCUGAAACAAUAUAUGUAUAAAUAUGUAUAUAGAUAAAAAAGUGUACUUUGAUCGUCCAGGCGUAAUUUUAAUCAGAUGACGGAACUUUAGCAAAAUUAUAGAAGGUAGAUCAAAAUAUACUUUUGUCUGUACAUUUGCUUCGCUGACUCCAUGUUCGCCGCGCAUGCGCAGAACGCGUGAACCGGUUCUUGCACGGGGGUUGGAAGUCUUUAAUAGUAUCGUCGGUACGAAUCGAGUGCGAAACUCGUAGAACAGUGACGGGAGGACAUGAAAGAUCGCUCGUUUCCGAACGAGGAGGGAGAAGCGUUUCCCUUCGUUGUUUGCGAACGACUCGACGAUGCGAUUCGAUCGAUUACGAAUCUCGAUCGUCGAUUCGACGACGAUGCGUACGGACAGAGUGUUCGUCGAGGCAGGUCGAGCGGCAGACGCAGAGAGGCACCCAAAGAACUGCGAUUUAGAAAAAGGAUUCGAGCGGAAAGAGUGGUAACGAAGAGAGACAGGAAGCGCGGUUCAAGAAGAAGAUCAUGAUCAUGAUCUGUCUCGCUAUACUCGCCGUUGUUGUGGCCACCACCAUCGGUGGAUACUUUGGACUGUGAA
Molecule: RNA transcript, 3548 nt
Organism: Megachile rotundata (alfalfa leafcutting bee)
Lineage: Eukaryota; Metazoa; Arthropoda; Insecta; Hymenoptera; Megachilidae
Gene: Syx1A
Gene name: syntaxin 1A
Source: RefSeq, a predicted model, not a curated record